This is a non-coding RNA of Elaeis guineensis (African oil palm), 2069 nucleotides long. NCBI's taxonomy places the organism in Eukaryota, Viridiplantae, Streptophyta, Magnoliopsida, Arecales, Arecaceae. The record is from RefSeq and is a predicted model, not a curated record.
AGAGUCAGAUUUCAGGAUGCUUUUGGUCAUAAUAAUUCGUUCAAGGAAAUUGAACGGUGGGCAAGUUCAAGUCAAUACUUUGAUCCAGAAGCUUUGACAACUCCCACGUCCCUCCCUAGUCCCAACCCCUUCCCCAAGUAACCCAUAAGAUACCAUCCAUUUUUCCGGGCGCUCACGUGGAUCCUUCGUGGCAGUGCCACAAAGUCCUUUAUAAUCCCUCCAACUCUCAUACCAGCUCCCAAAAAAAAAGGAAAAAAAAUUGGAAGAGAGGAAACGAUUAGUUUGGAGAUUAAAUUAUGCUGGGGAGAAAAGAAGAGAGCGGAUUGAAGAAGGCUCGAGUAGCUGCUGCCAGCGCUGCCUACGACUCCGCCCCCACCACCUCCAUCACAACCGCCACCGGACACAUACUUACCGUGUCCGAGUUCAUCUCCCGCUUUGACGAAGCUGCAAAGAAGAGACUGGAUAACAUGAACCAGAAGCUGAGGGAGUUGGAGAUGCAGAUGGAAGCACUUGAGGCUGAGAUCAACAAAGCAAAUGACUCUACCAAUUUGGCUUAAUUCCCCACUCUUUUACUGACGAUGCAUGGUAGGUCAGCAUCCACAGUUUUGCAGUUGGUGAGCCAAUUGGAAUACUCCCUCUGUUACGAAGCCAACUGGUAUACCUUCUCUGUUAUGGUGCCAAUUGGCCUUACAUGUAUGGAAGGGCAAUUAAUCUAUUUCUAAUUCAUAGGAGGAUCUCGCGAGCAUUUUUUUUUUUUUCUUAAAGUAUUAUGAUUACAUCUGAUAAAUUUACUACUCUAGGACACAGGCAUUAGGAAACAAUUUGGUUAGAGGUAAAUACUUAGAAUUUGGAUUCCAGAGCUAUCAUGUUUCAAAGCUUAACAUAACAGCCAAUUCAUAUGGGCUCAGCAUGGAUCCACUCUUGUGGCCUAUGAUGUGAUGGGCUUGGCCCAUAUGUUUUGGAUUAUUAUAUUGCGAGGGCUAUCUGGCUUCUUUCUUAAAAUCCAUUUGUAGAUCAAAGAGGAAGCUUGCAUGAAAUUGGAGAGUUCCCUUUCGAACUUCUGGGAGAUGAAAUUAGUACCUCCCCAUCCUAUUUCGGCUGAUGCAUUGUCCUUGCUCCAACCUUACACAACAACCCAUGACAACAUGGCAAGUGCAUCUGCUUCAAAAAAAUAGUACGUAUUGCUUAAGAUUGGGAAAGCCUAUCUCUGUGCAAGUUGGACUAAAGAAAAUAAAGAUUCGCUACAGCAAUUGUACCAUCCAAACUACUCUAGAUGGAUUCCUCAUCCCAUAUCAUGAAUUAGCGGAUGAUCCUCAUAUGUAUAUUUCCAUAUAAUGGAUGACACGCAUGCUGCGUGAAAGCAACAUUUGGAUACCUACAGCUAACCAAACAAUUAUGUAAUUAUGUUGUCUAUUGUCUUCUUAUAUUUUAAGCAAGAAUGAGGAGGAUUAUUUCGAGAAUCUUAUGCAAAGCUGUCAAGUAUGAAAGAGUUCCUUUUAUUGUAUUCAAGUAUUAAUACCUUCUCAACAAGCAUGAUUCUAUUGCCUUAAUUGCUUUAGAAGGUAUCACUCCGUUCAAUGAAUGGUCCAAUUUGUAUAAUCAUAAUCUUCUUGCAGAGUUUGGAAAAGUUUGGAUUAGAAUCAAAAAUAUCAAAAGAAAGAUAUUUUGAUGAUGCACAUUUUCAAAGCACUUGUUUUCCUUCAAUUUUCUGCAAUUGGAUAUGAGCAUCUCUUUGAAGCAUGCCUGACUGAUGAUGAUCUGAGAUUUAAUGUUCCAACACCAAAUUUUUCAGAUUUUAAUUGGCCAACAAUUUGAUUGGAAGCUUUUCAGUUCUUUGCAUCCUACAUAGAAGGAAAAGUUCUUGUUGUGGAAAAGCUACGAUCCUCCUGAUGAAUUCUUUUUAUUUUUGUGAGAUCCUCCCAACCUUCUCUAUUUUUUAGAUGCUGAAAUCUUUUUCUUCUGUUACUCUGUUUCUAUGGUGAAUUUUUUGUAGACCACUUGCUUCUUUUUAAUCUUGUAAAUCUGUAUCAUACACACUUUCUUUUAUAAUAAAUUUGAGUGGCUUUCAC